Molecule: small nucleolar RNA, 139 nt
Filed under: Leersia perrieri
Lineage: Eukaryota; Viridiplantae; Streptophyta; Magnoliopsida; Poales; Poaceae
Description: snoRNA snoZ247
Rfam family: Small nucleolar RNA Z247
About the family: Z247 is a member of the C/D class of snoRNA which contain the C (UGAUGA) and D (CUGA) box motifs.
Source: Rfam by way of RNAcentral
AAGGUCGAUGAUGAGGAUCUAAUUUCCUACAUCAUUGCCGGCCUUGACGAGGACUACGAUCCAGUAGUCUCCUCAUUGGUGGGACGUCCAGAUGCAAUCACCGUCAGCGAGGCCUAUGCUCAACUACCUAGUUUUGAGC